RNAcentral lists this ribosomal RNA (774 nucleotides) under uncultured bacterium. Its description in RNAcentral is "bacterial SSU rRNA". It matches the Rfam family "Bacterial small subunit ribosomal RNA", at positions 8 to 796 of the family's 1533-position model. The record is from RNAcentral.
AGAGUUUGAUCAUGGCUCAGGACGAACGCUGGCGGCGUGCUUAACACAUGCAAGUCGGACGGUGAACCGCUUUCGGGUGGGGAUCAGUGGCGAACGGGUGAGUAACACGUGAGUAACCUGCCCUUCACUCUGGGAUAACUCCGGGAAACCGGGGCUAAUACUGGAUAUGACCUACUCGGGCAUCCGAUGUGGGUGGAAAGAUUUAUCGGUGAGGGAUGGACUCGCGGCCUAUCAGCUUGUUGGUGAGGUAAUGGCUCACCAAGGCGACGACGGGUAGCCGGCCUGAGAGGGCGAUCGGCCACACUGGGACUGAGACACGGCCCAGACUCCUACGGGAGGCAGCAGUGGGGAAUAUUGCACAAUGGGCGAAAGCCUGAUGCAGCGACGCCGCGUGAGGGAUGAAGGCCUUCGGGUUGUAAACCUCUUUCAGCAGGGAAGAAGCGAGAGUGACGGUACCUGCAGAAGAAGCACCGGCUAACUACGUGCCAGCAGCCGCGGUAAUACGUAGGGUGCAAGCGUUGUCCGGAAUUAUUGGGCGUAAAGAGCUUGUAGGCGGUUUGUCGCGUCUGCUGUGAAAUUUCGGGGCUCAACCCCGAACUUGCAGUGGGUACGGGCAGACUAGAGUGUGGUAGGGGAGACUGGAAUUCCUGGUGUAGCGGUGAAAUGCGCAGAUAUCAGGAGGAACACCGAUGGCGAAGGCAGGUCUCUGGGCCACUACUGACGCUGAGAAGCGAAAGCAUGGGGAGCGAACAGGAUUAGAUACCCUAGUAGUCC